Mycena leptocephala is the source of this 91-nucleotide non-coding RNA. NCBI's taxonomy places the organism in Eukaryota, Fungi, Basidiomycota, Agaricomycetes, Agaricales, Mycenaceae. The record is from the annotation of a GenBank genome assembly.
GGCGGUAUGGUGUAAUGCCGCACACAAGAUUUUCUUGCAUGGCUGCGAAGUUAGUUAUCUUGAGAUCCUUGUUCGAAUCAAGGCACUGCUA